Culex pipiens pallens (northern house mosquito) is the source of this 1015-nucleotide long non-coding RNA. RefSeq lists it as uncharacterized. The transcript is spliced from 3 exons. Lineage: Eukaryota; Metazoa; Arthropoda; Insecta; Diptera; Culicidae. The record is from RefSeq and is a predicted model, not a curated record.
AGGGUGGGUCAUUUUUUUCGAAAGUGUUUGGAUCCGGCUGAAAUAAGGGCCAUCUUGUAGAGGGUACCCAUAGGGACUCUCAUAUCAAGUUUGAGCGCAUUUGGUUGAAAACUGGCUUGUCGCUCGGGGGUUAAAGUUUACAUGGAAAUUACUAUGGGAAAUGCGUGAUUUUACUUCAAACGCUCCUACAAGCUAAGCGACAAACUUUAGUCCACACUUACACUAGGUAGCCGUGUCGGGGGUGGUCCAAGGAACAUUUUUCUCUAAGGGGUCAUGGUCAUCCGUUCAACCCUGAGCUUGCGCAUCGCAGAUUUAUCCGGCGACGCCGGAAUCUUUCAAAAUCUCAGUUUUAACGGUCAACGCAUGCUACAAACUAUGACAGAAGCAUCGUUUGAAUAAAUGGAAAACGCGACGCCAAACGUCAAGUCACUAAAAUCGAUGCAGUAAACAACGGUUCGCCGUUCGCUGGUUCGCCGGCAAAAACUCUUAAAGCAGACCAAAUCAAUACAGAAAGGACGUGGUGCGCAUCAUCAUCGCCUGACAACAUCACCAUCAACCAAUUUGUCGACCAGUAACUGAUCGAAUGUGCGGACAGUUCCCACCGGCAGCACGGACAGUUGAUCUCCUUUGGGAACCACACGUCGACAUUUCCGGCGGAAUUGUUGCGACUACUGGGAGCUAAUGUUUGUGAUAAAUCGAGAAAGAUGCUGCUAAGAAACUAAUUCGUUCGAAAGACAACAAAAGCGCUUCUCUAGGAGGUGCUAAAGAACAAACUGCUAAUUUCGCAAUAGAAAUUAAUGCCAAACAAGAGAUGCAAGUGCUAACAGGAAACCACGUCGGGCCACAUUGAUCGAUUGCGCCAGGAAAAUGACCGACACCGCAAGCAGGCCAAAAUAUUAUUCGCCUAAAAAGCAUUUCAAUCAACUCCAAGCACCAUCGAGACUAGCAAGAUGCAGAUGUGCAAGUUAUUCGCGAAGGAGAGAUCAGGAAGUGGGUUAUGUGGCGCUGGCAAGAC